GCCCCAGUAGUUCAACGGAUAGAACGGCGGAUUCCUAAUCCGCAAAUGGGGGUUCGAUUCCUCCCUGGGGCACCA
Molecule: transfer RNA, 75 nt
Filed under: Thermosipho melanesiensis
Lineage: Bacteria; Thermotogati; Thermotogota; Thermotogae; Thermotogales; Fervidobacteriaceae
Also listed under: 7 other names
Description: tRNA-Arg
Rfam family: tRNA
About the family: Transfer RNA (tRNA) molecules are approximately 80 nucleotides in length. Their secondary structure includes four short double-helical elements and three loops (D, anti-codon, and T loops). Further hydrogen bonds mediate the characteristic L-shaped molecular structure. tRNAs have two regions of fundamental functional importance: the anti-codon, which is responsible for specific mRNA codon recognition, and the 3' end, to which the tRNAs corresponding amino acid is attached (by aminoacyl-tRNA synthetases). tRNAs cope with the degeneracy of the genetic code in two manners: having more than one tRNA (with a specific anti-codon) for a particular amino acid; and 'wobble' base-pairing, i.e. permitting non-standard base-pairing at the 3rd anti-codon position.
Source: RNAcentral